AACGAACGCUGGCGGCGUGCUUAACACAUGCAAGUCGAACGGAAAGGCCCUGCUUUUGUGGGGUGCUCGAGUGGCGAACGGGUGAGUAACCCGUGAGUAACCUGUCCUUGACUUUGGGAUAACCUCAGGCCACUGGGGCUAAUACCGGCUAGGAGCUCCUGCUGCAUGGUGGGGGUUGGAAAGUUUCGGUGGUUGGGGAUGGAAUAGCGGCUUAUCAGCUUGUUGGGUGGGUAGUGGCUUACCAAGGCAUUGCCAGGUUGCCGGGCUGGUCGGGUGACCGGCCACAUUGGGACUGGGAUACGGCCCAGACUCCUACGGGAGGCAGCAGUGGGGAAGAGUGCACAAGGGGCUGAAGCCUGAUGCAGCAACGCCGCGUGCGGGAUGACGUCCUGCGGGUUGUAAACCGCUUUCGCCUGUGACGAAGCGUUAGUGACGGUAAUGGGUAAAUAAGCUCCGGCUAACUACGUG
This 468-nucleotide ribosomal RNA is filed under the name uncultured bacterium. Its description in RNAcentral is "partial 16S ribosomal RNA". It matches the Rfam family "Bacterial small subunit ribosomal RNA", at positions 28 to 507 of the family's 1533-position model. The record is from RNAcentral.